UUCGGGCCUCAUGCCAUCAGAUGUGCCCAGAUGGGAUUAGCUAGUAGGUGGGGUAACGGCUCACCUAGGCGACGAUCCCUAGCUGGUCUGAGAGGAUGACCAGCCACACUGGAACUGAGACACGGUCCAGACUCCUACGGGAGGCAGCAGUGGGGAAUAUUGCACAAUGGGCGCAAGCCUGAUGCAGCCAUGCCGCGUGUGUGAAGAAGGCCUUCGGGUUGUAAAGCACUUUCAGCGGGGAGGAAGGCGUUAAGGUUAAUAACCUUGGCGAUUGACGUUACCCGCAGAAGAAGCACCGGCUAACUCCGUGCCAGCAGCCGCGGUAAUACGGAGGGUGCAAGCGUUAAUCGGAAUUACUGGGCGUAAAGCGCACGCAGGCGGUCUGUCAAGUCGGAUGUGAAAUCCCCGGGCUCAACCUGGGAACUGCAUUCGAAACUGGCAGGCUAGAGUCUUGUAGAGGGGGGUAGAAUUCCAGGUGUAGCGGUGAAAUGCGUAGAGAUCUGGAGGAAUACCGGUG
Molecule: ribosomal RNA, 517 nt
Filed under: Klebsiella pneumoniae
Lineage: Bacteria; Pseudomonadati; Pseudomonadota; Gammaproteobacteria; Enterobacterales; Enterobacteriaceae
Description: bacterial SSU rRNA
Rfam family: Bacterial small subunit ribosomal RNA
Source: RNAcentral